RNAcentral lists this ribosomal RNA (963 nucleotides) under Marginopora vertebralis. RNAcentral describes it as "partial 18S ribosomal RNA". It matches the Rfam family "Eukaryotic small subunit ribosomal RNA", at positions 606 to 1451 of the family's 1831-position model. Lineage: Eukaryota; Foraminifera; Miliolida; Soritidae. The record is from RNAcentral.
CAUUGUUGCGGUUAAGAGGCUCGUAGUUGGAUUGAAUAAAACAUAUAUACACAAUACUGUGAACAAACCAGAGUGUAUAAAACAUGUAAUAUAUUAUAUAUUUAGCAAUGAAUGUUUUAUCAUGGAAUAUUGCUAUAAUGAAUAUUAAUAUCGAUGGAGAUAGUUGGAGUUAAGAGUACUGAUAGGCGAGCGGUGAAAUGCAUUGACCCUAUUAAGACUAACAAAAGCGAAAGCACUUAACUAGAUUAUUCUCUUUGUAUUAUUUUACAAUGAAGAGCGAAGGUUGGGGGAACAAAGAGGAUCAGAUACCCUCGUAGUCCUAUUUUUACAUCAAACUAUGGGAUUUCAUUCACACUAAACACUAAACAUUAUAAUUAUAAUUAUGAUUGAGUAUAUGUCAAAAUAUUACUCUCAUAUUAAAUAAUUAUUAUAUAUAUGAUUAUAUGUACUUUGAGCUCAUAUAAUUAUAUAGGUGAGAUGUAAGCAUUAUAAAGUGAAUAAUAUACAAGUAAUAUUGUAUUAUUAUGAUCUUUAAAAUAAAAAAUGUAAUGUGAUGCACGUUUUAGGUACGAGCUUACUAUAGAAAUAUUUAAAAUNNNNNNNNNNNNNNNNNNNNNNNNNNNNNNNNNGAAACUUGAAGGAAUUGACGGAAGGGCACCACAAGAACGCGUGGAGCAUGUGGCUUAAUUUGACUCAACCCGGGAAAUCUUACCAGGUCCAGACAUAUUGAGGAUUGACAGGCGAUAGUAUAUAAUUCAUUUAUAUGCAUAAAAAUGAUAGUCCUUUCAUGAUUAUAUGAUAGGUGGUGCAUGGCCGUUCUUAGUUCGUGGAGUGAUUUGUCUGCUUAAUUGCGUUUCAGUAAAUAAAAUAUAUAAUAUAUUAUAAUAUUUAGUUCUGCCUUGAAUAUUAUUCAAGGAUUUAAAGUGAACAUAUUAUAUAUAUUAUUAUAUAAUAAAUGAAUGC